ACCUGACUCCCCUGUUAAAUCUAUCUCCUUCCCAAAAUGAAGUUUCUCCCAAAUCUGUGAAGAACCCUAAUUUAACCUCGACAACCAUCUUCUCCAAGUCGAUUUCUCCUGAGUCUCACACGAAGAUUUAGAAAAUCCACCCCAUCACUUUUGAUCGAUGUGGAUCUUCCAAACUAGAUAAGUACUCGAAUUCUUAUCUUGGAUGAUUCGAUACUGGAAAUCUAGUAGGUUGUAAAUUGGUUGACACAUCAUUAGAAGUGACGUUCGGUUGUGUAAAUGUUCUUCAUUUUAUAUUACCUUUGAAGAAGAAGUGGAUUAUAUAUGAUACAAAUCUGAAUUUUUGGUGGCUGCAAUAGUGUAUUUUAAAAUAUCAUUUUGUAUUUUGUAGUAAGCAUACUUUAAUGACAGGAAGGAAUAAGGGGAUUUAUCAAAUGCUACGUCCGAUGAUGAGCUAGAGUUAUCAAGUUUGUUGAAGAGCGUUGCUAAAAUAACUGAAGAAAAGGAUGUGGACAUUUCAGUCAAAUUUACUUUCCGCAAGGGAAAAGGAGAAGCAAGUAGAAAACAAGGAACCAAAUGGAGGAGCUUUGUGAACUUGAACCGUUUAUGUUUCAAUUUGUGUUUAGGCUAGAAAAUUAGGAAUUAGGUGAAUCCCAGGAAUUUCAAUUUCUUGUAUGUAAUUUGAAGUCUAUAGUGUCAAUCUCCAAUUAAACGACUAUGUUAUUUUAUAUGAAUGUGAGUUUCCAUUAAUCUCUA
Molecule: long non-coding RNA, 753 nt
Organism: Olea europaea var. sylvestris
Lineage: Eukaryota; Viridiplantae; Streptophyta; Magnoliopsida; Lamiales; Oleaceae
Exons: 2
Source: RefSeq, a predicted model, not a curated record